GUUGCUUUGGGUUUCAAGUGUUUCUUAGUUUUUCGCAAGCGAAAAGAAAGGAACUGUCGGUUUUUAAUCUUUCCUUAUAGAUUCCAUUUCUUAUUGUAGCUAUAUUUAUAAGAUACACAUCAAAUUUUCAAUUUUAGCAUACGUAAAGGAUAAAAUACAGAUGCCGGCAAAAACUACUGCUAUCUGACUGACGCUUAAUGGUAUACGAAGAAAGGUUACUGUUUAAUAGAAAAAAAACAACGUCGUGUUUACUCUGCAAUAACAGAUGGGCACCAAAUCUUUGAACUAACAAUAAUACUUUUCAUUACCUAAAAUAUGCUUAAUAUUCAACAAGAACGUCAAACUGAAACAAGUUUGUUCAAGCUUCUGUUUUCUAGAAUUUUUGUUAAUUACUUGGAUCACUUGUCUUAGGAAAUGAAACCAGGCCUCAGUAUGAUUUAUGCGAUAGAAAAUUAAAACAGUAAAGUGAUGUGUUUUAUUAUAACAUGUAAAUCAUUGAAAUUGUUGUCAUAACACAAAUGAAGUGAACCUUGCAUAGCUUCGCAUGCCUUGUCGAUUUGCUAUGCUCUAAAGGAUUUAUAAAAUACACUCUCUUUAACGUUUAAUUAAACUCGUCAUUCAUUUUAUCCAAAAUGUCUUGAUUCGCAGAUAGAGCACUUAUGAAUAAUUUCUUCGCAAAAUUAAACUGAGAAUGCAGUUCUUUCAACUCUUUUUUCAUCCUCCUAAUUAUUUUUUCAUGUUCAGUAUUCCGUUGCUUUUCUUUUCGCAGUAAAUUUUCUAGUUCCUGAAUUUGAUUAGAGUCCUAUUCGCUUGGUCAGUUAUGAUCAUGAUUACAUUUUUUAAAUACACCCACGUACUUUCGAUGAAUUUAUACAAUUCCUUAAUUCCGACAAUUUGACGAUGUCUUUGCGACCCAAAUGUAGUUUAGAUGCAGUGUUUGACGACACUAGAGAGGUAGGUGAUCCUAAUCCAUGUCUAUAAUCACUCGAUUUUUCUGUGAAAACAUUAGAUAGUGAAGAACCAUACAAGCAAGGGGACGUAUUUUCCCUAUAAAAAUGUAAUGGUUGACCAUAGAAAUCACAACUUUUUUCAGCUUCUGAAGGAUAGUUCCCCCUUGGCGAUAAAUGAGUCUUGUUGUUUUCCUUGACAAUAUACGGUGUCAUCGCCAGGGCAUCUAGCCCAUUUGAAUGGCUCGAGAGGUCCCUAGAUUUAUCUAAAUGGGAAGUUUCAUUAGGCCAAAUACUCCCAUUUGCUAAUUUUUUUUCAACUACUGUUUCUCUUGGUUUCAAAAACGAAAUUUGAUCCGAUGUCUUUUCGUUUAGAAACUCUUUGUUUGAAGAAACAACUAAAUCUAAUUCCUUCAACUGUUUACAUAAGAUUGAGUUUUCCUUAUCUGAAAAUAGCUCAUCUUUUACUUUGCAUUCCGACCUUUUAGUAAAAACCAAAUCGGUUUCAGGUUGUUGAGAUAUUUGGUCAAUCUUAAAACACUUAAUUGAGGACUUAUGUUUCUUCAUUAUGUUUUGCGUUGGCUAAUUUCAUGGUUAAAAAUGGCGGAAUAUGAAAUAGUCGACAGUAAACAAACACUGUGUUUUCACUAUGUCAACCUUCCCAAUCUAGUAAACAAAAACGAUAACAAGAGUAAACCAAUUUUGGCACAAGCGCAUUAUAAACUUAUACUGUAUAAAUUAAUA
RNAcentral lists this long non-coding RNA (1691 nucleotides) under Schizosaccharomyces pombe (fission yeast). The record is from RNAcentral. Lineage: Eukaryota; Fungi; Ascomycota; Schizosaccharomycetes; Schizosaccharomycetales; Schizosaccharomycetaceae.